AAUAGCCUAACGGCUGAACCAGCAACUUGGAGGAACGAAUAGCAAUGGCUAAUUGCACAUACAUAUGAUGCAAUAUCGACUCAGUCGAAUAAAAUUCUGGCUAGUAUUAUGAUAAUGACAUUGUCUGGCUAUGUGUCUUGACUAAAUUACGUGCCAGCAGUCGCGGUAAUACGUAGAAGACUAGUGUUAUUCAUCUUUAAUAGGUUUAAAGGGUACCCAGACGGUAUAUCAAGCCCUAGACGGGACUAAUUUGCUAGAGUUAUUUAUGCGGGGGCUAUAAAGUACUAACGGUGUAGAGAUAAAAUUUUGUAAUACCAUUUUUCGAAAGAAAAGUAACGGCACUGGUAAAGGCGAAAGCAUCCCCUUAUGAGAUAACUGACGUUGAAGGACGAAGGCUUUGGAUCGCAAAUAGGAUUAGGUACCCUAGUAGUCAAAGCAGAGAAUUAUGAGUGUCAUAGAUUAGAUAUUAAUUUUAUUCUAUAAAUGAAAGGGUAAGCAUUCCACCUCAAGAGUAAU
This 516-nucleotide ribosomal RNA is filed under the name Phyllopsora mauritiana. RNAcentral describes it as "SSU rRNA". It matches the Rfam family "Bacterial small subunit ribosomal RNA", at positions 370 to 884 of the family's 1533-position model. Lineage: Eukaryota; Fungi; Ascomycota; Lecanoromycetes; Lecanorales; Ramalinaceae. The record is from RNAcentral.